Molecule: ribosomal RNA, 433 nt
Filed under: uncultured bacterium
Lineage: Bacteria
Description: partial 16S ribosomal RNA
Rfam family: Bacterial small subunit ribosomal RNA
Source: RNAcentral
AACGAACGCUGGCGGCAUGCCUAACACAUGCAAGUCGAACGAGACCUUCGGGUCUAGUGGCGCACGGGUGCGUAACGCGUGGGAACCUGCCCUUAGGGUCGGAAUAACUCCCCGAAAGGGGUGCUAAUACCGGAUAAUGUCUUCGGACCAAAGAUUUAUCGCCUUUGGAUGGGCCCGCGUUGGAUUAGCUAGUUGGUAGGGUAAAAGCCUACCAAGGCGACGAUCCAUAGCUGGUCUGAGAGGCUGAUCAGCCACACUGGGACUGAGACACGGCCCAGACUCCUCCGGGAUGCAGCAGUGGGGAAUAUUGGACAAUGGGCGGAAGCCUGAUCCAGCAAUGACGCGUGAGUGAUGAAGGCCUUAGGGUUGUAAAGCUCUUUUAACCGGGCUGAUCAUGACAGUACCGGGAGAAUAAGCUCCGGCUAACUCCGUG